UACGGGGGGGGCAAGCGUUGUUCGGAAUUACUGGGCGUAAAGCGUGCGUAGACGGUUAUUUAAGUCAGGGGUGAAAGACGGUUGCUCAACAAUCGCAGUGCCUUUGAUACUGGUGUUCUUGGGUAACCUUGAGGUAGGCGGAAUGGGUGGUGUAGCGGUGAAAUGCAUAGAUACCACCCAGAACUCCGAUUGCGAAGGCAGCCUACUGGAGGUCAACCGACGCUCAGGCACGAAAGCGUGGGGAUCAAACAGG
Molecule: ribosomal RNA, 253 nt
Filed under: uncultured bacterium
Lineage: Bacteria
Description: partial 16S ribosomal RNA
Rfam family: Bacterial small subunit ribosomal RNA
Source: RNAcentral